This 683-nucleotide ribosomal RNA is filed under the name Pedobacter sp. M2B18. RNAcentral describes it as "bacterial SSU rRNA". It matches the Rfam family "Bacterial small subunit ribosomal RNA", at positions 875 to 1516 of the family's 1533-position model. The record is from RNAcentral. Lineage: Bacteria; Pseudomonadati; Bacteroidota; Sphingobacteriia; Sphingobacteriales; Sphingobacteriaceae.
UAGAGCAGUUGAGAUAUAAGACCUGGGGAAGUACGGUCUCCAAAAAUUUGAAACUUCUUAAGGAAUUUUUCGGUAGCCCUGGCACUAUGACGAGAAGCAAAUGGUUUUUAUUUGGAGGACCCGGAGAGUGACACCUUUCCCGGGCUUGAAACGUUAGUGAAUCAUUUAGAAGAUAGAUGAGUCCGCAAGGACACGAAGCUAGGUGGUGCAUGGGCUAUUCGUUCAGCUUCGUUCCGUGAGGUGUUGGGUUAAGUCCCCGCAACGAGCGCAACCCCUAUGUUUAGUUGCCAGCACGUAAUGGUGGGGACUCUAAACAGACUGCCUGUGCAAACAGCGAGGAAGGAGGGGACGACGUCAAGUCAUCAUGGCCCUUACGUCCGGGGCUACACACGUGCUACAAUGGAUGGUACAGAGGGCAGCAAGCUGGUAACAGCAAGCAAAUCUCCAAAAGCCAUUCACAGUUCGGAUAGAGGUCUGCAACUCGACCUCUUGAAGUUGGAUUCGCUAGUAAUCGUAUAUCAGCAAUGAUACGGUGAAUACGUUCCCGGGCCUUGUACACACCGCCCGUCAAGCCAUGGAAGUUGGGGGUACCUAAAGUAUGUAACCGCAAGGAGCGUCCCUAGGGGUAAAACCCGAUAAUCUGGGGCUAAUGUCUAACCAACGGAGCUGACCCUGAAGGGCAA